RNAcentral lists this ribosomal RNA (483 nucleotides) under uncultured bacterium. RNAcentral's name for it is "partial 16S ribosomal RNA". It matches the Rfam family "Bacterial small subunit ribosomal RNA", at positions 30 to 506 of the family's 1533-position model. The record is from RNAcentral.
AUUGAACGCUGGCGGCAGGCCUAACACAUGCAAGUCGAGCGGAUGAAGGGAGCUUGCUCCUGGAUUCAGCGGCGGACGGGUGAGUAAUGCCUAGGAAUCUGCCUGGUAGUGGGGGAUAACGUCCGGAAACGGGCGCUAAUACCGCAUACGUCCUGAGGGAGAAAGUGGGGGAUCUUCGGACCUCACGCUAUCAGAUGAGCCUAGGUCGGAUUAGCUAGUUGGUGGGGUAAAGGCCUACCAAGGCGACGAUCCGUAACUGGUCUGAGAGGAUGAUCAGUCACACUGGAACUGAGACACGGUCCAGACUCCUACGGGAGGCAGCAGUGGGGAAUAUUGGACAAUGGGCGAAAGCCUGAUCCAGCCAUGCCGCGUGUGUGAAGAAGGUCUUCGGAUUGUAAAGCACUUUAAGUUGGGAGGAAGGGCAGUAAGUUAAUACCUUGCUGUUUGGACGUUACCAACAGAAGAAGCACUGGCUAACUUCGU